Molecule: ribosomal RNA, 158 nt
Filed under: Trichoderma harzianum
Lineage: Eukaryota; Fungi; Ascomycota; Sordariomycetes; Hypocreales; Hypocreaceae
Also listed under: 1 other name
Description: 5.8S ribosomal RNA
Rfam family: 5.8S ribosomal RNA
About the family: 5.8S ribosomal RNA (5.8S rRNA) is a component of the large subunit of the eukaryotic ribosome. It is transcribed by RNA polymerase I as part of the 45S precursor that also contains 18S and 28S rRNA.
Source: RNAcentral
AAACUUUCAACAACGGAUCUCUUGGUUCUGGCAUCGAUGAAGAACGCAGCGAAAUGCGAUAAGUAAUGUGAAUUGCAGAAUUCAGUGAAUCAUCGAAUCUUUGAACGCACAUUGCGCCCGCCAGUAUUCUGGCGGGAAUGCCUGUCCGAGCGUCAUUU